UACAGAGGUCUCAAGCGUUGUUCGGAAUUAUUGGGCGUAAAGAGCUCGUAGGCGGCCUGUUGCGUCCGCUGUGAAAUCCCGGGGCUCAACCCCGGGCCUGCAGUGGAUACGGGCAGGCUAGAGUUCGGUAGGGGAGACUGGAAUUCCUGGUGUAGCGGUGAAAUGCGCAGAUAUCAGGAGGAACACCGGUGGCGAAGGCGGGUCUCUGGGCCGAUACUGACGCUGAGGAGCGAAAGCGUGGGGAGCGAACAGG
RNAcentral lists this ribosomal RNA (253 nucleotides) under uncultured bacterium. Its description in RNAcentral is "partial 16S ribosomal RNA". It matches the Rfam family "Bacterial small subunit ribosomal RNA", at positions 524 to 776 of the family's 1533-position model. The record is from RNAcentral.